UAAUACGUAGGGGGCGAGCGUUGUCCGGAAUUAUUGGGCGUAAAGGGUUCGCAGGCGGUCUUUUAAGUCAGAUGUUAAAUGCAUAGGCUCAACCUAUGAGUGCAUUUGAAACUGGAAGACUUGAGUUAAGGAGAGGAAAGUGGAAUUCCUAGUGUAGCGGUGAAAUGCGUAGAUAUUAGGAGGAAUACCAGUGGCGAAGGCGACUUUCUGGACUUUUUCUGACGCUGAGGAACGAAAGCAUGGGGAGCAAACAGG
RNAcentral lists this ribosomal RNA (255 nucleotides) under uncultured archaeon. RNAcentral's name for it is "partial 16S ribosomal RNA". It matches the Rfam family "Bacterial small subunit ribosomal RNA", at positions 521 to 776 of the family's 1533-position model. The record is from RNAcentral.